GUCAGGCUGGAGGCGGGGCCACGGCGGCCCGGGCGGGAGCUGUCUCCUGCAGAGCUAGUGCUCGCGCUGGUCCAACCCACAGUGUGGGUUGGAGUCUUCCACCCCGCUGGCAACCUGCAGACACGAGCUAGAGGCAGGCCUGUGUGUGCCAGUGGUUGAAAGGGGUGGAGAAAAAGGAAUUGCUUUCCUUCAGGACGCCACUCCCCUUGGAGGGAAGCUGGUUUGGGCACUUGAACCAGGGCUGCAUGUGCACUAGGACUCUGCUCCCCUGAGACCAGACAAGUUCCCUAAGGCAAAACUGCCUUAGAGGGCUUCCCUGGUGGCUCAGUGGUUGAGUGUCCGCCUGCCGAUGCAGGGGACACGGGUUCGUGCCCUGGUCCGGGAGGAUCCCACAUGCCGCGGAGCGGCGGGGCC
Molecule: long non-coding RNA, 414 nt
Organism: Lagenorhynchus albirostris (white-beaked dolphin)
Lineage: Eukaryota; Metazoa; Chordata; Mammalia; Artiodactyla; Delphinidae
Exons: 3
Source: RefSeq, a predicted model, not a curated record